CGUGAGUGAAGAAGGCUUUCGGGUCGUAAAGCUCUGUCAAGUGGGAAAAAAAUCUCAUGAUGAAUAGUCAUGAGGCUUGAUGGUACCACCGGAGGAAGCACCGGCUAACUCCGUGCCAGCAGCCGCGGUAAUACGGAGGGUGCAAGCGUUGAUCGGAAUAAUUGGGCGUAAAGAGCGUGUAGGCGGUAUGGUAAGUCAGAUGUGAAAGCCCUGGGCUCAACCCAGGAAGUGCAUUUGAUACUGCCAUUCUUGAGUAUGGGAGAGGAGAGUGGAAUUCCUAGUGUAGAGGUGAAAUUCGUAGAUAUUAGGAGGAACACCCGUGGCGAAGGCGGCUCUCUGGACCAAUACUGACGCUGAGACGCGAAAGCGUGGGGAGCAAACAGGAUUAGAUACCCUGGUAGUCCACGCCAUAAACGAUGAGAACUAGGUGUAGCGGGUAUUGACCCCUGCUGUGCCGAAGUUAACGCAUUAA
This 472-nucleotide ribosomal RNA is filed under the name uncultured delta proteobacterium. Its description in RNAcentral is "bacterial SSU rRNA". It matches the Rfam family "Bacterial small subunit ribosomal RNA", at positions 400 to 863 of the family's 1533-position model. The record is from RNAcentral. Lineage: Bacteria; Deltaproteobacteria.